This 217-nucleotide non-coding RNA is filed under the name Pseudonocardia sp. The record is from RNAcentral. Lineage: Bacteria; Bacillati; Actinomycetota; Actinomycetes; Pseudonocardiales; Pseudonocardiaceae.
AUAGUGCUCGCUGUUGCUGGUUCGGCCGGUCAGCCAGACCGGUCGUCGUAAGAGGGAACCCGGUGCGAGCCCGGGACUGCCCCGCAGCGGUGAGCGGGAACGACCGCCGUCAUGUGCACUGGGAGCGUGCUCCCGGGAAGCGACGGCCAGUAGGUCCGCCGGCGAGAGCCGGCGGGGGUCCGCGAGUCCGAAGACCUGCCAGCGCACCGCGCACGUC